AAAACUUCUGAAUAAAUUUUCACCACUUUGCGCCUGGCAAGUUUACAAGUUGCCUGACCUUUAAUAGUCUGGUUUCUGGAGAGAUGAUGAGUCCUGUGGACCCAAGUGGAAGGUGAAUCCUGUCACUGUCACCCUCUGCUCUCAUAUGGAGCAUCCUUAUUCUGUAGAAAUGCACCUCGAUAAAGUACCCCAGAACAGCCUUUGAACAUACCAAAGUAGUUGCUCAAUCAAUACUUGCUGAAAUGAAGAUAAAAAGAGAAGAUGGACCAAACAAAACCGAAGCUAUGAAAUCCUGGAAUUUAGCAGAUUUCUGCAAAGUUGACAUUCAUCAGAUCUCAUCUGAGUCACCAAGUUGUCAGCUGCUCUGAGAAGUCCUGAAGUCUGUGGAAAAACAACCCCAAACAUUGGCACCAUCUGUAGAAGAGGCUUCACUCUUAAGAUUCUCUAUUUGUACUCAUUAAGUCAUUACCUGAUAAAGCCAGACUUGUUUCUUUUUAAAUAAUCUGCAAAAUAGGCUAUAAAAUGCAUGUUUGUAAACUCAUCACAGGCUGCAUUCCAAUUGACUGUUAGAGAGGUUUUUAAGAUCCCAUUCUUAUUGUAUAGUGACUAUUAAAUAGAAAGUUUUCUCCUAUUAGACAAUCUGCCAAAAACUGUCAUUUAAUCUAAUAAUGUAGCAGGAAUCUGAAUAUCAUUUAAGUGACUUAUUAUUUCUCCUCUUCACUCCAUCCCCAGUUUUCCAGAAUCUUACUUUUAUUUGAAAUACCUCAAUAUGUCAGGCAUAUGAGUUAAUCCACCUGGGAACUUUCUUAUAGAAAUAUCUGCUUUAUGGCAGAACUGAUCAUGACUAAAGUCCAUUUGGGAUCAUCAUAAUUACCAAAGUACUAAAAAAGACCUCCAUAUAAAACUGGAUCUAGAAGACAGCAUUUAUAGAAUUUCAAUUAAAUAUAUACAUUUAACCCAACAAAACUUUAUUAAAUAAACAUGUUAUAGAUGUGUUCGGAGAAGAAGAA
Molecule: long non-coding RNA, 1010 nt
Filed under: Monodelphis domestica (gray short-tailed opossum)
Lineage: Eukaryota; Metazoa; Chordata; Mammalia; Didelphimorphia; Didelphidae
Description: lncRNA (ENSMODG00000035885.2)
Source: RNAcentral